Long non-coding RNA from Teleopsis dalmanni, 640 nucleotides. RefSeq lists it as uncharacterized. NCBI's taxonomy places the organism in Eukaryota, Metazoa, Arthropoda, Insecta, Diptera, Diopsidae. The transcript is spliced from 2 exons. The record is from RefSeq and is a predicted model, not a curated record.
UAGUGACAAAAAACUUCGGAUUAGUUUUAUAUUAUCCAAUAUCUUUAAUAACUCCAAUACGAUCAGUUUGCGAGAGUGCAUUGACGAAAGUAACACUUGGCUUCAAAUCAUAACCAAUUUUUAAUUAGUCUACUGAACGCUGCCAAGGGCGACUCAGGUCUGUAAUGCCCAACUAAGUAGACAUAAAAAUAAAUCAAAAUGAACUCUAUUCGCUAUUUUAUCUGGUACUUACUUUGCGCACAUUUGCGAGUACUGCGACCAGAUUUAAUGAACCAACAAAAACUAAUAACUUCUGGGAUAGAAAAAUAGUAGUAACAGAAGAUGGAGAGAAAUUUAUGAAUUUGCAAAAUGUGAAUGUUCACUCAACAUUUAUGGAAAUGCUGAACAAUUUAUGAACUUUCGAUUGUUUGUCAAAAUGGCGCGCAUAAAAUGUUAAUAAAUCGUCUGGAAAUUCUAAAUGGUCAUAUGAAGCGAAUGAUGGUCGUUUCCCAGCUUUAUUGAGCAUUCCGAGUUCCUCCUUAACGUUGGCAUUCUUUGCACAAGAGUCAAAUGGCUAAUUUGACUUUUAACGAUGAUUUCACAUUAUAACUGAAACAUUAAGUUUAUUUUCUAUUCCAAUAAAUGUUCACAGAUAAAUGAA